This 255-nucleotide ribosomal RNA is filed under the name uncultured bacterium. RNAcentral's name for it is "partial 16S ribosomal RNA". It matches the Rfam family "Bacterial small subunit ribosomal RNA", at positions 524 to 776 of the family's 1533-position model. The record is from RNAcentral.
UACGUAGGGGGCUAGCGUUGUCCGGAUUUAUUGGGCGUAAAGAGCGUGUAGGCGGCCAGGUAGGUCUGCUGUGAAAACUCGAGGCUCAACCUCGAGAUGUCGGCGGAAACCAUCUGGCUAGAGUCCGGAAGAGGAGAGUGGAAUUCCUGGUGGUAGCGGUGAAAUGCGCAGAGUAUCAGGAAGAACACCCGUGGCGAAGGCGGCUCUCUGGGACGGUACUGACGCUGAGACGCGAAAGCGUGGGGAGCGAACAGG